Molecule: RNA transcript, 3483 nt
Organism: Schistocerca serialis cubense
Lineage: Eukaryota; Metazoa; Arthropoda; Insecta; Orthoptera; Acrididae
Gene name: RWD domain-containing protein 2A
Exons: 6
Source: RefSeq, a predicted model, not a curated record
AUUCGCUUUGGGAGGAGUUGUGCGUGGGUUGAAGUGCGACAGGCGUAUGUUGUCGCGCGGCUGAUAAAUGUAGUGGCAGUGUAUACAUUGUGUUGUCAGUUACUGGGAUUAAGCUAUCGCAUUCUAUUUGUUUAGUACUUCCCAGGUAAUUAAGAGACCGUAAAUGGAUAUAUGCUUUCCACGUGGCCCUAUCGUUAACCUCAGAUUUGUUUACAAAUUGCGGCUUGCAAAAUUUAUUCGGUAUAACUAUGUCUUGUGAUUACGAUGACAGCGAGUUCUUGGACUUUAAAGAAUUGGAAGAACAGAUAACUCAGAUAGUAGAUAAUGGAAACCUCGAGGAAAUGCUUCGCAUACAACUGUCGGAGUUUGAAAUGUUACAAUCCAUGUUUUCAAAUCCAGGAGAAUUUUGUGUGGAUGACCCGAGCGUUAUAGCCGAUAUAAAUGAGUUUGUGGACGGAAGGUGUUCUAUCAUUCCACCUCGUUUAGAUUUUAGUAUAAAUUUAUUUAUAGAUAUGGCCAAGUUCGAAGUCUGUGUGAACCUCCCACACGAUUAUCCAGCUACUGAGCCAGAUAUUUUUGUGAGAAGUGACAAACUCAGCAGAAACCAGCAACACAGUUUAAAUAUUGACCUUAGCAAAUUUAUUGCUGAUCUUGAUCGAGGUGAAAUCUGUAUCUGCUCCGCAAUUUCUUGGCUUCAAGAAAAUGCUACUCAUUAUUACGUUGCAAUUAAACCAGAACCACAAGUGAAAAUAUGCGAAGAUGAAGAUUUGUUUACCCGGUACUGGAUAUAUUCUCAUCACAUUUACAGUAAAAUAAAGAGGAGAGAAGUAUUGGAUCUUGCUCAUGAAUUUAACAUCACAGGAUUUUGCCUUCCUGGAAAACCUGGAAUUAUUUGCGCUGAAGGUUCCUCUAUGGAUUGUGGUGAAUGGUGGCAAAAGGUGAAGAGCAUGAACUGGAAAAAGAUCAUGUGUAAGAAGAAGGAAACUUUCAAGUUAAAUGGAGGAGAAAUGGAUGAACUUCGGAAAUUUCCCAGUUUUCGUGAGAUUUCUUUUGAAUCUGUUUCAGGUUGAACUACAUAAAAGUUGUGUACAAGGGUUGAGGAUAAGGAAAAGGAAAAGGGGUUGGUGGAGGACAGUGAGUAAUGGAGGCUGUGACCAGGAGAUUGGUGCAUUGAAGAAUGUGCUGGAGGGACAGUUCUACACAUGAAAUUCAGGAAAGCUAUUGCUAUUAGGGUGGCCCUAGUGACAGUAACUCUGGUAACAGGGAGUUGUGAACCCAGAAUGCCAAUAUUCAGAGGUCCAGUACUUUGUGAAAGAAGAAGAUAGCUGCUUGUAGAACUUGGUUCUUUUGAGCCAUGGCAAUCAUUGCCUUCCAGAAAGCAGAAUGCAGACCCUUGUAGGCUGUGGUUCUUUUGAGCCAUGGUAGUGUGCCUGGCAUUGGGGCAGGAGGAUCCCAGUUUGAAAUAAUAACAUGUCUCACAGCACAUUAUUCCUGAACUUGCAUAACAAUGCAGUCGUGGCAACAAGAGCUGCAAAUGGUCCUGCAGGGAACAGCAGUGUCCAAGUCAUCAGUGAUUUGUGUAUUCUACUGUACGUACCUUGUGUCAGUGAGCUUUGUCAGCCUACUCAUUUGUGCACUGAACUUUUAGCAAUGAAGCGAAGCAAAAAUUUUAUGUAUAUCUGUAAACCAUAAGCAUUUACAUCAUGGUCAUUGGUGAAUAAUAAUAUAAGAAAACUAUAUAGUUUCUUUUAUAUUUUUCACAGGAACAUUUUUAUUUUACCCUUUAUAGGCACUGAUGUGAAGAUUCACUAGCCCCAUUUGGAGAAGGUCCAAAAUUAAACCUAGAAUUGGUAAAGCAGGACCAAGUAGGAAACAGGACAAGAAGCAGCAGUUUCAGGAUAUUUUUUGUGCAAUCGCUGAAUGUUAUCAUUUGCUUUAUUUGCAAAAGUGUUGUAGGCAUUCCUAAGUAGUACAGCUUAAGGAUACAUUACAGAAUUCUGCCUCUUCUAAAUUGUCGGAAGAACUACGUGAACAGAAAUUUUCUUCCUUGAAGUGAGAAUUGGCUUGUUAGUAAGUCAUGUUCAGAAAACCUAUUAAAAACUCAUGAACUGCAACAGAAAUAAGUUUUGAAGUAUCUCACUUUAUAGUAAAAAAAUCAAAAAUUGUUUUGAGAUAGCUGCUAAAAAUAUUUGCCCUGAAUCAGUUAACCAUUCUGAUAAAAACAUCACAGGGUUGUGGGACAGAAGAAAAUGGAUUUUCUUCCAUUUUCAGAAAAUUCAGUUAAACCAAAUGAUCACUUAAAGGAUAAUUACUGCAGGGUCGGCAAAUAUGAAGAACCAGUUAAGACAUUGCUCAAAGAAAUUUGCUUACUUUUCAUUUGUUAUUGAUGUGUCAACUGACACCAUCUCCACACCCCAGUUGUUAGUAUUUGCAUAUGGAAUGAUGCAUGAGUUUGGAGUACAUGACCAGUUAACUGGAAUGAGUUCACUGUGAGGGCAAACUAGGGUUAGUGAUAUGUUCAUUGGACUGUUGGAACUGUGUGCAAACAUUGACUUAACUGACUAACUUAAUAGGUAUUAUGAAUAACAGAGAAUCUACCAUGGUAGGAAUUAAUUCUGGAUUGAUAUCAUCACUAAAACACCAUUUAUAAGCCCAUGAUGAUAUGAUGCAAUUACACUGUAUAAUCCCCUCAAAGACUUUUCUGCACUAACAAAAUAGGUUUCGGGCAUGUCACGAAAGUUGAAAGUUGUGGUUUCAACAGUUAAUUUCAUAAAAUUUCAUGGUCAAAUCACAGACAGUUUAAAACCUUCCUUGAAGACACUGACAAUGAAUACGGUGAUUUGAUCUUUUACACAGAAACAACAUGGCUAAAUUGUGGUAGAAAUGCUGCAGCAGUUCCUGAAUUCAACUGAUGAUACUGAAAUUUAAAUGAUUCAAAAUAACAGAAAAAAAGGGUUUCUUGUGGGACUUUGCAUUUUUUACAGACAUUACCAGUUGUUUCAGCAUGUUAAAUACUCAGCGUCAAAGCAAAAAUCAAUUCAUUAAUCAACUUUAUGGCCAUAUUAUAUGUUUUCAUUGUAAGCUACAUGUGUUUUAAACCAACUGAAGUCCAACUUUGUGCUUAUGAUGAGAAAGUUGGUAACUUGAUAUCAGCUUUCAAGACUCAUUUCCCUGAUUUUCACAAGAUAAAGCCAUUGCUAGAUUGACUUAGCAACCAUUUUGCCUGAAAAUGCACCAGAAGUGAUGCAGCUGGAACUCAACGGCAUGCAAAACGAUGAAACACUGCGAUUUAAAUUUGAUGAUACAAACUGCUGAAUGUCUAUCUUCUUAUUAAUAGGAACAAUUGGAAGGUAUUGGUAGACACUGCAGUAAGAUGUGCAAACCCUUUUGGGCCAAGUUAUAUGUAUAAACAAACUUUUUCCUUAAUGAAAAUCAACAGAUCAGUAAAUAGUAACCGCUUGAUAAACGGCAAUCUAGAGCCAA